AUUGAACGCUGGCGGCAUGCCUUACACAUGCAAGUCGAACGGCAGCACGGGAGCAAUCCUGGUGGCGAGUGGCGAACGGGUGAGUAAUACAUCGGAACGUGCCCAGUAGUGGGGGAUAACCCGGCGAAAGCCGGACUAAUACCGCAUACGACCUACGGGUGAAAGCGGGGGAUCGUAAGAACUCGCUCUAUCGGAGCGGCCGAUGUCAGAUUAGCUAGUUGGUGGGGUAAAGGCCUACCAAGGCGACGAUCUGUAGCUGGUCUGAGAGGACGACCAGCAACACUGGAACUGAGACACGGCCCAGACUCCUACGGGAGGCAGCAGUGGGGAAUUUUGGACAUUGGGCGCAAGCCUGAUCCAGCCAUGCCGCGUGCGGGAAGAAGGCCUUCGGGUUGUAAACCGCUUUUGUCAGGGAAGAAACGCUCCGGGCUAAUACCACGGAGUAAUGACGGUACCUGAAGAAUAAGCACCGGCUAACUACGUG
Molecule: ribosomal RNA, 484 nt
Filed under: uncultured bacterium
Lineage: Bacteria
Description: partial 16S ribosomal RNA
Rfam family: Bacterial small subunit ribosomal RNA
Source: RNAcentral